This 279-nucleotide unclassified non-coding RNA is filed under the name plant metagenome. Its description in RNAcentral is "partial contains small subunit ribosomal RNA, internal transcribed spacer 1, and 5.8S ribosomal RNA". The record is from RNAcentral.
UUUCCGUAGGUGAACCUGCGGAAGGAUCAUUAUUGAAUAACCCAGGUUCGAACUCUGUCGCUCACCCGAAAGGUAGUGCACGCCCGAUUGCCCUCCCACACAUGCAUCUCACCCCUAUGUGCACCACCGCGUGGGUCCCCCUUUGGCUUGUUCGUAUGUGGUCUUACGUUUUCACACAAACUUUCUAUGCAUUGUAGAAUGUAUUUUAUGAUUUAUCAAUUACGCAAGCAAAACAACUUUCAACAACGAAUCUCUCGGCUCUCGCAACGAGGAAGAACG